RNAcentral lists this ribosomal RNA (406 nucleotides) under uncultured bacterium. Its description in RNAcentral is "partial 16S ribosomal RNA". It matches the Rfam family "Bacterial small subunit ribosomal RNA", at positions 29 to 526 of the family's 1533-position model. The record is from RNAcentral.
AUUGAACGCUGGCGGCAGGCCUAACACAUGCAAGUCGAACGAGUGGCGGACGGGUGAGUAAUGUCUGGGAAACUGCCCGAUGGAGGGGGUUAACUACUGGAAACGGUAGCUAUUACCGCAUACUAUCAGAUGUGCCCAGAUGGGAUUAGCUAGUUGGUGGGGUAACGGCUCACCAAGGCGACGAUCCGUAGCUGGUCUGAGAGGGUGACCAGCCAGCCUGGAACUGAGGCACGGUCGCAACUCCUGCGGGAGGAAACAGUGGAGAAUAUUGCGCGAUGGGGGCGAGCGUGAUGCAGCCAUGCGGCGGGUACGAAGAACGACUUAGGGUGGGAGAGUACUUACAGCGGGGAGGCGUUACCCGCAGAAGAAGCACCGGCUAACUCCGUGCCAGCAGCCGCGGUAAUAC